ACUCAAAUGAAUAGACGGGGACCCGCACAAGCAGUGGAGCAUGUGGUUUAAUUCGAUGCUACGCGAAAAACCUUACCAGCUCUUGAAUCCUGGUCGCGAUUUUCAGAGAUGAAUUUCUUCAGUUCGGCUGGACCAGUGACAGGUGUUGCAUGGCUGUCGUCAGCUCGUGUCGUGAGAUGUUAGGUUAAGUCCUUCAACGAGCGCAACCCUCAUCCUUAUUUGCCAUCGGGUUAUGCCGGGAACUAUAAGGAAACUGCCAACGACAAGUUGGAGGAAGGUGGGGAUGAUGUCAAGUCAUCAUGGCCCUUAUGGGCUGGGCUACACACAUGCUACAAUGGUGAUUACAACGGGUAUGCAAAACAGCAAUGUCGAGCUAAUCCUUCAAAAGUCAUCUCAGUUCAGAUUGGGGGCUGCAACUCGCCCCCAUGAAGUUGGAAUUGCUAGUAAUCGCGGAUCAGCACGCCGCGGUGAAUACGUUCUCGGGUCUUGUACACACCGCCCGU
RNAcentral lists this ribosomal RNA (503 nucleotides) under uncultured bacterium. RNAcentral's name for it is "partial 16S ribosomal RNA". It matches the Rfam family "Bacterial small subunit ribosomal RNA", at positions 899 to 1397 of the family's 1533-position model. The record is from RNAcentral.